This 438-nucleotide long non-coding RNA is filed under the name Ananas comosus (pineapple). RNAcentral's name for it is "long non-coding RNA (ACOM_LNC042772)". The record is from RNAcentral. Lineage: Eukaryota; Viridiplantae; Streptophyta; Magnoliopsida; Poales; Bromeliaceae.
UUGUGAGGGUCGCUCCCUACAAGCCGGCACUCCGGAGUUGGCCAUCGCGAUUCAUAUUCGCCGUGCGGGAUUGGGCGCCGAAGUGGAUUGCCGUGGGACAGGCUCAUUCCUAGGGUGGGAAUGAUGACUACCACGGGGCCAUUAGGCUCGGCACCGGCCAGACAGCCUUCGGGUGGGUCUCAGGGCCAUAGACAGCCUUCGGGUGGGUCUCUUCAGAUUUGACUUGAGUGUUCAUUAUGAUAUGUGGACAGAUGAUGACUUAGAGUAUUACUUGGACAUUGACUAGAAUAGUAAACAACGGAACUUUACUAUUUCACAUUGUGAACAUCAUGAUAGUUGGAGACUUUUACUUCUUGCAUAGUUGCUUUCAUACUUAUGCUAUUUAUGCUAAGUAGAGAUAUCAUGUCGUAGUAGGUUACAUUUUUACUUACCUUUCGC